Molecule: unclassified non-coding RNA, 1376 nt
Filed under: Dothideomycetes sp. KO-groupA 2014
Lineage: Eukaryota; Fungi; Ascomycota; Dothideomycetes
Description: partial contains ITS1, 5.8S rRNA, ITS2 and LSU
Rfam family: Eukaryotic large subunit ribosomal RNA (bases 495-1376)
Source: RNAcentral
UCCGUAGGUGAACCUGCGGAAGGAUCAUUACCGAGUACUGGAGCCUUCGGGUUCCUACUCCCACCCUAUGUUGACUUUGAAUGUUGCUUUGGCGGACCGGUGGUCUCACCGCUGGCCUAGGCUGGAGAGCGUCCGCCAGAGGAUUUUAAAACUCUGUUUAACGGUGAAUUCUGAGUCUUGAUAAAUUGAAUCAAAACUUUCAACAACGGAUCUCUUGGUUCUGGCAUCGAUGAAGAACGCAGCGAAAUGCGAUAAGUAAUGUGAAUUGCAGAAUUCAGUGAAUCAUCGAAUCUUUGAACGCACAUUGCGCCCUUUGGUAUUCCGAGGGGCACGCCUGUUCGAGCGUCAUUUAAACCAUCAAGCCCUGCUUGGUCUUGGACGCGGUCGAGUGACCCGUCCGUAACCCGUUGGCGGUGCAGUCCGGCUUCAAGCGUAGCAAGAAUUUCGCUUCAGGAGUCCGCGGCGGCGUCUGCCAGAAAACACUACCCAAAGUUUGACCUCGGAUCAGGUGAGGAUACCCGCUGAACUUAAGCAUAUCAAUAAGCGGAGGAAAAGAAACCAACAGGGAUUGCCUCAGUAACGGCGAGUGAAGCGGCAACAGCUCAAAUUUGAAAUCUGGCUUCCGCCCGAGUUGUAAUUUGCAGAGGAGGCUUUGGAGUCGCCCCGGUCCAAGUUCCUUGGAACAGGACGUCGCAGAGGGUGAGAAUCCCGUACGCGGCCGGAUGGCUUCUCCGUGUAAAGCCCCUUCGACGAGUCGAGUUGUUUGGGAAUGCAGCUCUAAAUGGGAGGUAAAUUUCUUCUAAAGCUAAAUACCGGCCAGAGACCGAUAGCGCACAAGUAGAGUGAUCGAAAGAUGAAAAGCACUUUGAAAAGAGAGUUAAAAAGUACGUGAAAUUGUUGAAAGGGAAGCGUUUGUAGCCAGACUUGGCGGCAGUUGCUCAACCGGUCUCUGCCCGGUGCACUCUUCUGCCGACAGGCCAGCAUCAGUUCGGGCGGCCGGAUAAAGGCAUCGGGAAUGUGGCUCCUCGGAGUGUUAUAGCCCUUUGCACAAUGCGGCCAGCCCGGACUGAGGACCGCGAUUCACGGAUGCUGGCUUAAUGGCUGCCAACGGCCCGUCUUGAAACACGGACCAAGGAGUCUAACAUCUAUGCGAGUGUUUGGGUGUAAAACCCGUGCGCGUAAUGAAAGUGAACGGAGGUGGGAGCUUCGGCGCACCAUCGACCGAUCCUGAUGUCUUCGGAAGGAUUUGAGUAUGAGCAUAGCUGUUGGGACCCGAAAGAUGGUGAACUAUGCCUGAAUAGGGUGAAGCCAGAGGAAACUCUGGUGGAGGCUCGCAGCGGUUCUGACGUGCAAAUCGAUCGUCAAAUUUGGGUAUA